Molecule: long non-coding RNA, 260 nt
Filed under: Eucalyptus grandis
Lineage: Eukaryota; Viridiplantae; Streptophyta; Magnoliopsida; Myrtales; Myrtaceae
Description: long non-coding RNA (EGRA_LNC005237)
Source: RNAcentral
UCUUAACAUAUUUAUCUGAUGGAGAAGAUGGCAUUAUGGCAGCUGCUGUUGCUUUCUUCGUAAAUUUCACAAGUUAAUUCUGCUAUUGUGGUUUGGAGACUCACAUGCUCUUGUAGCUCUGUAUAAUUGGACAUCUUGUAGUUCUGUAUAAUGAAGCCAAUGGUUCUUCAAGCCAUUAGGGGAUGACGACUGAGUGAUUACUUUAGCCGUUUGUUUUCAGUUAUUUCAAUUUUGCCAAGCAAAUCAUUUGCUCAAGUGAU